This 115-nucleotide ribosomal RNA is filed under the name Petromyzon marinus (sea lamprey). The record is from RNAcentral. Lineage: Eukaryota; Metazoa; Chordata; Hyperoartia; Petromyzontiformes; Petromyzontidae.
AUUAUCGACAAAGUCACCCUCAAUGCAUGUGAUCUUGACUGAUCUUGUAAGCUAUGCAGGAUUUCAGUGGUUUGUACUCGGAUGGGAGACUGCUUGGCAACACCAGGUGAUGAAU